RNAcentral lists this long non-coding RNA (710 nucleotides) under Mus musculus (house mouse). RNAcentral's name for it is "long non-coding RNA chr10:58550624-58551334". The record is from RNAcentral. Lineage: Eukaryota; Metazoa; Chordata; Mammalia; Rodentia; Muridae.
AGUUUACCACUUGGUGCCGUUCUUUCCAAAUUAGUUGCUGUAACCUCACAGUGAUCAAAAUGGUAUUAAACUUUUAGGUAGAACUUGAUAAGCCAAUUUCAAAGUUCAUACAGAGACCCAGAGGAUUUAGAGUCCUUAACACAGUUUCUUUUAUUCUACCUGACUUCCAAAGAGUAUGCUACUGGUGUAAAGCCAGACAUCAGUGCGACAGGAUGGAUAAUCCAAGACAGACCUACAUGCACAUAUGGCCAGCUUAUUUUCAGCAAUGUGUCAUGUCCGUUCACCAAGGACAGGGACAGUCUUUCCUGAAAAUGACACUAGAGUGAUAAUAUAUCAUACGUGAUCAUAUAAUAUCAGAUGUGGGGUGGCGGGAUGGGGCACAGUGGGGUGUGGGUAACUUGUACUCUCACAUACACCAAAAAAGAAACUCAAAAUACAAUGCAAACCAAAAUUAAAACACUUGAACUAUAAAACCUCAAGAAGAAAACACGAGAGAUUAUGUUACUGAACUUGGGUUUGGCACAAAAAUUUCCCCCCUUUUUAAAUAUGGUGUGUCAUAAAACCCAGACUAGCUCCAGAUUUGCUAUGUAGCCCAGGCUGGCCUUAAACUUGCUAUGUAAUUCAAGGCUAUCUCGUGAUUGUGGCAGAUCUCCCAACUCGGCCUCUACACCUAUAAUACUGGAACUAUAGGUGUAUGUCGCCCCACCAGG